AUGGCCAGGCAGCAUGUUCCUUCCAUGUUUGCCGUUGCUCUCUUCAUCGGAGCAUUCGCUUCUGUUCCUACAAGUGUGCAAUCCAUCGGCGUGUGCUACGGCGUGAUCGCCAACAACCUCCCGCCGGCGAACGAGGUGGUGCAGCUCUACAGGUCCAAAGGCAUCACCGGCAUGCGCAUCUACUUCGCCGACGCCAAGGCCCUCUCCGCGCUCCGCAACUCCGGCAUCAGCCUCAUCCUCGACGUCGGCAACGACCAACUCGCCAACCUCGCCGCCAGCACCUCCAACGCGGCGUCAUGGGUGCAGAAGAACGUCCGCCCAUACUACCCGGCUGUAAACAUCAAGUACAUCGCGGCGGGCAACGAGGUCCAGGGCGGCGCCACGCAGAGCAUCGUGCCGGCCAUGCGCAACCUCAACGCGGCCCUCUCCGCUGCUGGGCUCGGCGCCAUCAAGGUGUCCACCUCCAUCCGGUUUGACGAGGUGGCCAAGUCCUUCCCGCCCUCCGACGGCGUGUUCGCGAAUGCCUACAUGACGGACGUGGCCCGGCUCCUGGCGAGCACCGGCGCGCCGCUGCUGGCCAACGUGUAUCCCUACUUCGCCUACAAGCGCGACCCGCAGAACAUCAAGCUAAACUACGCGACGUUCCGGCCGGGACCCUCGGUUCGGGACGACAAGAGCGGGCUGACCUACACAUGCCUGUUCGACGCGAUGGUGGACGCCGUGGUCGCCGCGCUGGAGAAGGCCGGGGCGCCGGCGGUGAGGGUGGUGGUGUCCGAGAGCGGGUGGCCGUCGGCAAGCGGGUUCGCGGCGACGGCCGACAACGCUAGGGCGUACAACCAGGGGCUGAUAGACCACGUCGGCGGGGGCACACCGAAGAGGCGCGGCGCGCUGGAGACGUACAUCUUCGCCAUGUUCAACGAGAACUUCAAGAGAGGGGACCUCGUGGAGAAGCACUUCGGGCUGUUCAAGCCGGACAAGUCGCCGGCGUACCCCAUCCAGUUCAAGUGA
Molecule: ribosomal RNA, 1008 nt
Filed under: Triticum aestivum (bread wheat)
Lineage: Eukaryota; Viridiplantae; Streptophyta; Magnoliopsida; Poales; Poaceae
Description: partial small subunit ribosomal RNA
Source: RNAcentral